Molecule: ribosomal RNA, 1372 nt
Filed under: uncultured bacterium
Lineage: Bacteria
Description: bacterial SSU rRNA
Rfam family: Bacterial small subunit ribosomal RNA
Source: RNAcentral
GAUGAACGCUGGCGGCGUGCCUAAUACAUGCAAGUCGAGCGAACGGACGAGAAGCUUGCUUCUCUGAUGUUAGCGGCGGACGGGUGAGUAACACGUGGAUAACCUACCUAUAAGACUGGGAUAACUUCGGGAAACCGGAGCUAAUACCGGAUAAUAUUUUGAACCGCAUGGUUCAAAAGUGAAAGACGGUCUUGCUGUCACUUAUAGAUGGAUCCGCGCUGCAUUAGCUAGUUGGUAAGGUAACGGCUUACCAAGGCAACGAUGCAUAGCCGACCUGAGAGGGUGAUCGGCCACACUGGAACUGAGACACGGUCCAGACUCCUACGGGAGGCAGCAGUAGGGAAUCUUCCGCAAUGGGCGAAAGCCUGACGGAGCAACGCCGCGUGAGUGAUGAAGGUCUUCGGAUCGUAAAACUCUGUUAUUAGGGAAGAACAUAUGUGUAAGUAACUGUGCACAUCUUGACGGUACCUAAUCAGAAAGCCACGGCUAACUACGUGCCAGCAGCCGCGGUAAUACGUAGGUGGCAAGCGUUAUCCGGAAUUAUUGGGCGUAAAGCGCGCGUAGGCGGUUUUUUAAGUCUGAUGUGAAAGCCCACGGCUCAACCGUGGAGGGUCAUUGGAAACUGGAAAACUUGAGUGCAGAAGAGGAAAGUGGAAUUCCAUGUGUAGCGGUGAAAUGCGCAGAGAUAUGGAGGAACACCAGUGGCGAAGGCGACUUUCUGGUCUGUAACUGACGCUGAUGUGCGAAAGCGUGGGGAUCAAACAGGAUUAGAUACCCUGGUAGUCCACGCCGUAAACGAUGAGUGCUAAGUGUUAGGGGGUUUCCGCCCCUUAGUGCUGCAGCUAACGCAUUAAGCACUCCGCCUGGGGAGUACGACCGCAAGGUUGAAACUCAAAGGAAUUGACGGGGACCCGCACAAGCGGUGGAGCAUGUGGUUUAAUUCGAAGCAACGCGAAGAACCUUACCAAAUCUUGACAUCCUUUGACAACUCUAGAGAUAGAGCCUUCCCCUUCGGGGGACAAAGUGACAGGUGGUGCAUGGUUGUCGUCAGCUCGUGUCGUGAGAUGUUGGGUUAAGUCCCACAACGAGCGCAACCCUUAAGCUUAGUUGCCAUCAUUAAGUUGGGCACUCUAAGUUGACUGCCGGUGACAAACCGGAGGAAGGUGGGGAUGACGUCAAAUCAUCAUGCCCCUUAUGAUUUGGGCUACACACGUGCUACAAUGGACAAUACAAAGGGCAGCGAAACCGCGAGGUCAAGCAAAUCCCAUAAAGUUGUUCUCAGUUCGGAUUGUAGUCUGCAACUCGACUACAUGAAGCUGGAAUCGCUAGUAAUCGUAGAUCAGCAUGCUACGGUGAAUACGUUCCCGGGUCU